Lepidothrix coronata (blue-crowned manakin) is the source of this 759-nucleotide long non-coding RNA. RefSeq lists it as uncharacterized. The transcript has 3 exons. Lineage: Eukaryota; Metazoa; Chordata; Aves; Passeriformes; Pipridae. The record is from RefSeq and is a predicted model, not a curated record.
CUGCAGCCACUGCUGUGUCUGCCACGCGUGAGGGGAGAGUGCUGGGCCGUGUCCGGCUGUCCUGCUGUUCUCAAGAGAAGUGCAGCUGUACAACAAAAUUCACCUUAAAUUUAUGUUUUCAUCAUGACAUUGCAACAUGCUCAACCUGUGGAUGUGGUCAGCAGUAAGUGGGGAAUGAACAGUGAAGCAGUGGAAUCCUGGACUUCUGGCAGUGCUUCAGCUUUUACUGAAGCAUGUUUACUUUCAUUUCAGAUUUUCUGGAACUUGCCACUGUUAUUUUACCAGGUGAGGCCCAGCCUAUUUCUUUAACAGGUAGGACAGUGGUAACUCAUAACUAACUCAUUGAAUGAAGUUUAAAAAAAAAGAAAAAAAGACUUUCUGUCUUUGUUUCUUAAUUCAUUUAUAGCACUACAAAAAGCUCCACAUGCAACUAACCAUACAAAUAAAAUACUAAAAAACCCCUAAUCAGACUAUUCAAGGGUUUCUGACAAUUAAUUUAAAAGAAUUUACUUUCUUGCAGUUCUGCAUAUAUUCCGUUCAUCUCUCUGUAAAAGGAUAUAAUACUGGUACAAAAACUCAACCAGAAACAGAAGUAUAUUUUAAGCUGGCUAAAAUUAGCCACAUUUAGACAUAUACCAGUAAAUAGAAGGCUAUGCUGUGCACCUUAUGUAGAGUCAGUCAUCAUUUAGUUGUAUUAAUCAAUCAAUUUUUGGUUGAGAAAAUUAAGGAUCCAGGGUUACUAAAUGAAUAAGGAACAAA